Molecule: non-coding RNA, 443 nt
Organism: Oryctolagus cuniculus (rabbit)
Lineage: Eukaryota; Metazoa; Chordata; Mammalia; Lagomorpha; Leporidae
Source: RefSeq, a predicted model, not a curated record
UGAACGCUGGUCACGAGGUGCCAGGAGUGCGAAUAGCCCGCGGUAAGGAGCCCGGAUGACAAGGAAACAGCACACCCGGGCUGCGGGGAUGGCUGCUUAGCCAGCCUUUCGGUGACGUCAGGUGGCCAGAGGGGCCUGGGCCUCCCCCAGCCCCCGAAGGACCGCCCUCAGGUCGGCUCCCACGGGCUGCCCUCCCGCGCCCCCACGCGCCGCUGCCUCUAACUGGAUCCGGGAGAAACCGGAGCGAGAAUGAGGAAGCAUUUGUCUCAGAAAACAGUAAUAAAAGCUGCUUACUGUAACAAAACAGGAGGUUGGGAACAAAAUCAGAGAACAUGCGACUGUUUGGCAAAGAGUGGCAUCAGCAAAUAGACGAUGGCUCCCUUCAAAAUCCCUCGCGUUCAGGUAUGUUAGUCUGUUUCUUGACAAAAUCAUCAGCACCUACA